Molecule: ribosomal RNA, 424 nt
Filed under: uncultured microorganism
Description: bacterial SSU rRNA
Rfam family: Bacterial small subunit ribosomal RNA
Source: RNAcentral
GAGUUUGGAUCCUGGCUCAGAUUGAACGCUGGCGGCAUGCCUUACACAUGCAAGUCGAACGGCAGCAUGAUCUAGCUUGCUAGAUUGAUGGCGAGUGGCGAACGGGUGAGUAAUACAUCGGAACGUGCCCUGUAGUGGGGGAUAACUAGUCGAAAGAUUAGCUAAUACCGCAUACGACCUGAGGGUGAAAGUGGGGGACCGCAAGGCCUCAUGCUAUAGGAGCGGCCGAUGUCUGAUUAGCUAGUUGGUGGGGUAAAGGCCCACCAAGGCGACGAUCAGUAGCUGGUCUGAGAGGACGAUCAGCCACACUGGGACUGAGACACGGCCCAGACUCCUACGGGAGGCAGCAGUGGGGAAUUUUGGACAAUGGGCGAAAGCCUGAUCCAGCAAUGCCGCGUGUGUGAAGAAGGCCUCGGUUGUAAGU